CUUAAAGCUUACUGGGCGAUGCGCGGAAACUUUAUUAAUCAUCAAUGCGUAAUAAUUGUGUCCCUUUAGAGGGCUGGCACGAGCCUAGAAGUCAUUUUGCUGUGAGUGCUGGUGCAAGAAAGGGACUACAGGCCGCGUUGAUAGGUCCUUGUGGUAGGAUAUUGACUGUUUCGUCUGCCGAUGACCAUGAGACAACCCAAAUGCGGUACAAAACGCCCGCUGCGAGGGUUACUGGACUGACUGCGGAUGAUCCUGGGGAUGAAGUGCCAGAGUUAGUAUCGGGCGACAGCUAA
RNAcentral lists this unclassified non-coding RNA (293 nucleotides) under uncultured archaeon. Its description in RNAcentral is "HgcG". The record is from RNAcentral.